RNAcentral lists this ribosomal RNA (412 nucleotides) under uncultured bacterium. RNAcentral describes it as "bacterial SSU rRNA". It matches the Rfam family "Bacterial small subunit ribosomal RNA", at positions 8 to 422 of the family's 1533-position model. The record is from RNAcentral.
AGAGUUUGAUCCUGGCUCAGAUUGAACGCUGGCGGAAUGCUUUACACAUGCAAGUCGAACGGCAGCACGGGGGCAACCCUGGUGGCGAGUGGCGAACGGGUGAGUAAUACAUCGGAACGUGCCCAGUAAUGGGGGAUAACCAUCCGAAAGGAUGGCUAAUACCGCAUACGCCCUGAGGGGGAAAGCGGGGGACCGCAAGGCCUCGCGUUAUUGGAGCGGCCGAUGUCGGAUUAGCUAGUUGGUGGGGUAAAGGCCUACCAAGGCGACGAUCCGUAGCUGGUCUGAGAGGAUGAUCAGCCACACUGGGACUGAGACACGGCCCAGACUCCUACGGGAGGCAGCAGUGGGGAAUUUUGGACAAUGGGGGCAACCCUGAUCCAGCCAUUCCGCGUGAGUGAAGAAGGCCUUCGGG